GGCUUAUUGUUUAUGAUUUUAGGUCUAGCCUGCCCAAUGACGGAGUUAAAUGGCCGCAGUAUAUUGACUGUGCAAAGGUAGCAUAAUCACUAGUUUUUUAAUUGAAAGCUUGAAUGAAAGGUUUGAUGAAAAAGUUUCUGUCUCUAUCAGAAUUUAUUAGAAGUUUAUUUUUAAGUUAAAAAGCUUAAAUUUGUAUUGAAGACGAGAAGACCCUAUAGAGUUUUAUAUUUAAAUAAGUGGAUGAUUUUUAGAAUUGGCAAAUUUUUUUUUUAUUUAAGUAUUUGGUUGGGGCGAUUUAAAAAUUAGGUAAACUUUUUUUUUAUUAUAACACUAGUUUGUGAAUAUUUGAUCCUUAAAUAGAGAUUGAAAGAUUAAAUUACCUUAGGGAUAACAGCGUUAUUUUUCUUAGAGCUCUUAUCGAAAGAAAAGAUUGCGACCUCGAUGUUGGAUUAAAAUUAGUUGUUGGUGUAGGAGCUAAUGAACUGGGUCUGUUCGACCUUUAGAUUUUUACAUGAUCUGAGUUUAGACCGGUGUGAG
Molecule: ribosomal RNA, 537 nt
Filed under: Trigonopterus deplanatus
Lineage: Eukaryota; Metazoa; Arthropoda; Insecta; Coleoptera; Curculionidae
Description: partial large subunit ribosomal RNA
Rfam family: Bacterial large subunit ribosomal RNA
Source: RNAcentral